UAAAUGUAUACAUUCAACAGCAAAAAAACGGAGACUCCAAUUUAGUCUUAUAAUUGUGUUUAAUAUAUCAAUCUUUUAAAAUUAAUGGUUAAUUUAUAAGUUAUUUACACAAAAUCUCCCACGAAUGGAUAAUUUUUAUGGAUUAUUAACAAACAAAUAGAUAUUUUUGUCAAAACUUUAUCCCCCAUUCUUAUUUGGUUUUCUAACUAAUUAACUCAUUGUAAUAGCAGUUAUUUCUCCCUUUGCUAGGCCAAAGGACUCGAAUCUUAUAUUUGAUGAAACAUGUUAAAAUCUAUUUACAGCUAUCAGGUUGGAGUUUCAGCCACACCCAAAGAACUCAACCGGUACAACACAAACAAAUUCAAUUCAGCUCCAACAAUUGGGAAUCCAGUUGAGGGCUGCAACCAUCCAGGAUUUCCAUAGAUAAGUCCCAGUUUUGGCACUGUUUUUAAUUUACGCUUGUUUUUUUUUCGUUGUGCUCUUUUGGAUAUGCAGUUGAUGUUAAUUUAUUAUUUUAUCAAUAAAUUUAUUUGCUGUUGAAA
This is a long non-coding RNA of Diorhabda sublineata, 542 nucleotides long. RefSeq lists it as uncharacterized. The transcript has 2 exons. Lineage: Eukaryota; Metazoa; Arthropoda; Insecta; Coleoptera; Chrysomelidae. The record is from RefSeq and is a predicted model, not a curated record.